UAUAAGAGCAAGUAUAAUAAGGUGACAUAAGCAAGUUAUAAAGAUAAAAUAUUAUAUUAUUGCUUAGUUAAAGGAGAGAGAGGAGAAGAGAGAAGAGAAGUGGGCUCUUGGUGAGUAGUCAGAUACAACACGAGACCCAAGACACUUUAUGAGAUUGUAAGGUGGGUCAACUACUACUAUAUGUCGGCUAUUAGGUUGGUUCUAUAUGACAUGACAACUCUUUAUAGUCGAUUGUUGGCUGUAUUAUUAACCAUGCUCUAGGACUGCUGCUAUGCUACAUGCUCACGCGUGGCUCGCUAGCAUAGACAGGCUUUGGCCUUGGGUUUGACACCGGCCGCCUCCUUUUUUUUUUCUCGUACGCAUGUAAUGCUUCAGAUUUCCUUUGACCGAGUCCGCUGGCAUGUUAUCUGCGUGCAAACAGCCGCCGGUUCGGUCUCCGCUGGUGGUUGUCUUUGCUCCUCACAUGAGGAGGUAUACCGAAGAUACUUUGUAUGAUGAUGAGAGUGCUAAU
Molecule: long non-coding RNA, 511 nt
Filed under: Hordeum vulgare
Lineage: Eukaryota; Viridiplantae; Streptophyta; Magnoliopsida; Poales; Poaceae
Description: long non-coding RNA (HVUL_LNC011991)
Source: RNAcentral